Molecule: long non-coding RNA, 1491 nt
Organism: Bombyx mori (domestic silkworm)
Lineage: Eukaryota; Metazoa; Arthropoda; Insecta; Lepidoptera; Bombycidae
Exons: 2
Source: RefSeq, a predicted model, not a curated record
AAAUGACAACAAAAGCUUCAAACUCGCUGUACCGAAUAUCUCAAUGCCAACAGAAAAUAACCCGAAUAUAUUUUUAUUGCAUAGAAAGAUAAACGACCUGAUGGCCCAUCUGAUUUCAGUCGAUUAUUAGAGAUAGACGUCACAUCAGUCAAAAAUCGAACCUACGACCCUCGACGCAACAGUGAGAUCAGCUAACUACUGCACCAUCGAUUCAGUUUGAAAUAUAUAAUUAACUUACCAGCACCAAUAAACGCAAUAUUUAGUUUAACAUAAUCUGUUUCUGAAUUAACCAGGAAUUCUCUAUCUAAAACGACAUUAUAUUUCAGUCAUUGAAUUUGCAAUAACGAUAACCGUACCGAAUUAGAGUAAUGAACAAGCAUAAUGCUGUCAUGAAUAAAGUAACACCGGCUGAAGAUAGCGUUGAAAUUAUGAAAAUGAAUCGACCAAAAUGAAAGUAGUUUAGUAUGACGAAACAGUUGGAACGCGGGGAGUUGGGCAGAGGAAUGCAUGAUCCACGCGGUGUUAAAUUUUAUCAUUGGAUAACGAAAACAUUAAAACCUUAAUACCACCAACCCUGAAUCGGGAAGCUGAAACCUCUUUCAAGAUGCGCUAAUCUUCAAAAUGAGACAAAAACAGUACUAUAAGGAUCGUAAUAGACCCUGCAGUCAUUAAUUACACAAUCCCUAUUACUAAUUCUCGUUUAUAAAAUAUAUUGUUAUAACUUUAUCAAUAUAAUCGUUCUUUAACUGGCUCCGAUUAAUGGACAUUAAUUUAACAUAUUAUUAUUUUUAUUGUUGUUGAUUUAAGCUUCAUCUGUCAAUUAUAGCAAAAUUACAAGUCAAUAUUGCAGACGUUUCAAACUGUUUGCAAUUUUUGCGAAAAAAAAAACUAGCAAAAUGUGUAUUUAAAAUACUAUAUUUGUAGUACUAGACACCGAAUGCCAACUGCUGCUAGUAUGUGCGACUAUGAUAACCAUACACGAACCAUAACCAUAACCAUAACCAUAACCAUACCAACCAUAGCCAUAAAAAAAGUAACGACCUACAGAAACAAAAGUAAGAUUUCUUUAUCCACAUAUUUCUGAUUUUUCGUUCCUCAAAUAUGUAAUCUCUCCUGCGUAGACAUCGCGAGCCUCUGGUUAAAGAAAUAGCCGAUAAGUCGAUCGAUAUACAACUAAAUUGAGCUCAGACCUCACGUGACCCACCAAAGUGGCCAGAAGGUUUUUACGAAAUGAACAAAAAACUUAAAAACGAAGCGAUAUUGUGACUCAGUACGGGUCACCGUGACCUUUCCAUUUAGAUUUAAACCUGACUAAAACACAUCGCCGGAAGGACCUAAUCAGUAUACCUACCGUCCGUUCUGAGUAUUCCGUUUUCGUUUUAUUUCUGUAGUCGAUUUAAUUAUGCCAAUUCUCUCUAAUGUUAAUCCUAAUUUCACUGUUUCUUUUUUAAAUAUUGGUCUUUGAUAUAUUAAAAAAUAAAUAAUAAAUAA